This 484-nucleotide ribosomal RNA is filed under the name uncultured bacterium. RNAcentral's name for it is "partial 16S ribosomal RNA". It matches the Rfam family "Bacterial small subunit ribosomal RNA", at positions 30 to 507 of the family's 1533-position model. The record is from RNAcentral.
AUUGAACGCUGGCGGCAUGCUUUACACAUGCAAGUCGAACGGCAGCACGGGCUUCGGCCUGGUGGCGAGUGGCGAACGGGUGAGUAAUAUAUCGGAACGUACCCAGCAGUGGGGGAUAACGUAGCGAAAGUUACGCUAAUACCGCAUCCGAUCUAUGGAUGAAACCAGGGGACCGCAAGGCCUUGUGCUCCUUGCGCGGCCGAUAUCUGAUUAGCUAGUUGGUGAGGUAAAGGCUCACCAAGGCGACGAUCAGUAGCUGGUCUGAGAGGACGACCAGCCACACUGGAACUGAGACACGGUCCAGACUCCUACGGGAGGCAGCAGUGGGGAAUUUUGGACAAUGGGCGCAAGCCUGAUCCAGCAAUGCCGCGUGAGUGAAGAAGGCCUUCGGGUUGUAAAGCUCUUUUGUCAGGGAAGAAACGGUAGAGGCUAAUAUCCUUUGCUAAUGACGGUACCUGAAGAAUAAGCACCGGCUAACUACGUG